CGCUAGCGAUAGGCUUAACACAUGCAAGUCGAGGGGCAGCAUGAUCUUAGCUUGCUAAGGUUGAUGGCGACCGGCGCACGGGUGCGUAACGCGUAUGCAACUUGCCUUACAGAGGGGGAUAACCCGUUGAAAGACGGACUAAAACCGCAUACACUUGUAUUAUUGCAUGAUAUUACAAGGAAAUAUUUAUAGCUGUAAGAUAGGCAUGCGUCCCAUUAGCUGGUUGGUGAGGUAACGGCUCACCAAGGCGACGAUGGGUAGGGGAACUGAGAGGUUUAUCCCCCACACUGGUACUGAGACACGGACCAGACUCCUACGGGAGGCAGCAGUGAGGAAUAUUGGUCAAUGGGCGAUAGCCUGAACCAGCCAAGUCGCGUGAAGGAAGACAGUCCUAAGGAUUGUAAACUUCUUUUAUACGGGAAUAACGGGCGAUACGAGUAUUGCAUUGAAUGUACCGUAAGAAUAAGCAUCGGCUAACUCCGUGCCAGCAGCCGCGGUAAUACGGAGGAUGCGAGCGUUAUCCGGAUUUAUUGGGUUUAAAGGGUGCGUAGGUUGUUCGGUAAGUCAGCGGUGAAACCUGAGCGCUCAACGUUCAGCCUGCCGUUGAAACUGCCGGGCUUGAGUUCAGUGGCGGCAGGCGGAAUUCGUGGUGUAACGGUGAAAUGCAUAGAUAUCACGAGGAACUUCCGAUUGCGAAGGCAGCUUGCCAUACUGC
RNAcentral lists this ribosomal RNA (715 nucleotides) under uncultured organism. RNAcentral's name for it is "SSU rRNA". It matches the Rfam family "Bacterial small subunit ribosomal RNA", at positions 34 to 737 of the family's 1533-position model. The record is from RNAcentral.